CACGCCCUAAACUAUGGAUACUCGACAUACGCGAUACACAGUGUGUGUCUGAGCGAAAGCAUUAAGUAUCCCACCUGGGAAGUACGACCGCAAGGUUGAAACUCAAAGGAAUUGGCGGGG
Molecule: ribosomal RNA, 120 nt
Filed under: uncultured bacterium
Lineage: Bacteria
Description: partial 16S ribosomal RNA
Rfam family: Bacterial small subunit ribosomal RNA
Source: RNAcentral